GAUGAACGCUGGCGGCGUGCCUAAUACAUGCAAGUCGAGCGAACAGAUAAGGAGCUUGCUCCUUUGACGUUAGCGGCGGACGGGUGAGUAACACGUGGGUAACCUACCUAUAAGACUGGAAUAACUCCGGGAAACCGGGGCUAAUGCCGGAUAACAUUUAGAACCGCAUGGUUCUAAAGUGAAAGAUGGUUUUGCUAUCACUUAUAGAUGGACCCGCGCCGUAUUAGCUAGUUGGUAAGGUAACGGCUUACCAAGGCAACGAUACGUAGCCGACCUGAGAGGGUGAUCGGCCACACUGGAACUGAGACACGGUCCAGACUCCUACGGGAGGCAGCAGUAGGGAAUCUUCCGCAAUGGGCGAAAGCCUGACGGAGCAACGCCGCGUGAGUGAUGAAGGUCUUCGGAUCGUAAAACUCUGUUAUUAGGGAAGAACAAAUGUGUAAGUAACUGUGCACGUCUUGACGGUACCUAAUCAGAAAGCCACGGAUAACUACGUG
Molecule: ribosomal RNA, 497 nt
Filed under: uncultured bacterium
Lineage: Bacteria
Description: partial 16S ribosomal RNA
Rfam family: Bacterial small subunit ribosomal RNA
Source: RNAcentral